Molecule: long non-coding RNA, 320 nt
Filed under: Gallus gallus (chicken)
Lineage: Eukaryota; Metazoa; Chordata; Aves; Galliformes; Phasianidae
Source: RNAcentral
GUGAACAGCCCGGUCCUGACGCCGUGGAUGUUCUUGAUGGCGUAGCUGAUCUCCCUCCGCAGGUCCUUCUCGUCAAACUCCAUCUUGACCAGCUCGAAAGGGAAGCGCUCGUGGAAGAUGCGGUUGAUGCGGGCGCCUCCGGACAGCUCCAGAGUGUCCACCUGAUCGCCAGAGCCCUCAAUGCGCUUCUCAAAGUCCACCCCGAACUGCUGCACCAUCUGCAGCAAAGCUUUGGUUUUCCGCGUGGGGUCAUCAGGGCGGAAGUUCUUAUACUCCUCCACCUCCUUCUCCAGGGAGAGCAGCUGGCUCUGCAGCUUGCU